UGUGAUAGUAUCCUUUAUGUUCUGUGAA
Molecule: non-coding RNA, 28 nt
Filed under: Mus musculus (house mouse)
Lineage: Eukaryota; Metazoa; Chordata; Mammalia; Rodentia; Muridae
Source: RNAcentral